UCCCUUUCAUUUUCUCCGAGCAUAAUGCUUACCUGGGGAAAUGUCCCAGAAGAGGGUCCACCUUCGCAGCAUCCGGAAGGUGCCCGAUACUGCCAUGCACCCUUGAGUUAUAGGCCUCCCAGCAAUAAAAGAGACAUCAUGUUCACCUCUCCUGAGUGAGGAGCCGAAGAGCACUUGCUGAAGGCUGUAUGUGGCUCUCUGAAAACUGUGCUAUAGCUUUGACCUUGCUGGCUGUGGAAGACCUGUCACGAGGGACAGAGCAUCUGGGAUGGGGGUGGAUGUGAAGACCAUGCAGGCAUAGGAAAAGCUUGGAGAAAACCAAGCUCUGUGGUUCCAUUGCCUGGAAAGCCCGUGGGUUUGGGAACGAGGAGCCACACGGCCGUCCGCUGACCUCCAGGCAGUCUGACGAGUGAUUCGAAGGAUGACUUCAGAUGUUGGGAGCACCGGCAGCUGCCUUUUUGAUCUGUCUGCCUUAAAAGUUCUAUCUCUACACUAGGCUCACUGCAGGCUUUUUCAAUACUGCAGAAUUUCCUAAUACCCUUUAAAUAAAGAUCAAAAAGAAACCGG
This is a long non-coding RNA of Suricata suricatta (meerkat), 567 nucleotides long. RefSeq lists it as uncharacterized. The transcript is spliced from 3 exons. The record is from RefSeq and is a predicted model, not a curated record. NCBI's taxonomy places the organism in Eukaryota, Metazoa, Chordata, Mammalia, Carnivora, Herpestidae.